CGGGGCAGAGCCGCGAACGGGUGAGUAACACGUGGGUUACCUGCCUCGAUGACCGGGACAACCCGAGGAAACUCGGGCUAAUACCGGAUGUGCCCGCAAGGGGAAAGGAAGCUUCGGCCUCCGCAUCGGGAUGGGCCCGCGGCCCAUUAGCUUGUUGGUGGGGUAACGGCCUACCAAGGCGACGAUGGGUAGCUGGUCUGAGAGGACGAUCAGCCACACUGGGACUGAGACACGGCCCAG
This 240-nucleotide ribosomal RNA is filed under the name uncultured bacterium. RNAcentral's name for it is "partial 16S ribosomal RNA". It matches the Rfam family "Bacterial small subunit ribosomal RNA", at positions 86 to 334 of the family's 1533-position model. The record is from RNAcentral.